RNAcentral lists this ribosomal RNA (441 nucleotides) under uncultured bacterium. RNAcentral describes it as "partial 16S ribosomal RNA". It matches the Rfam family "Bacterial small subunit ribosomal RNA", at positions 338 to 795 of the family's 1533-position model. The record is from RNAcentral.
CCUACGGGAGGCAGCAGUGGGGAAUAUUGCACAAUGGGGGAAACCCUGAUGCAGCGACGCCGCGGGAGUGAAGAAGGAUUUCGGUAUGUAAAGCUCUAUCAGCAGGGAAGAAGAAAGACGGUACCUGACUAAGAAGCCCCGGCUAACUACGUGCCAGCAGCCGCGGUAAUACGAAAGGGGCAAGCGUUAUCCGGAUUUACGGGGUGUAAAGGGUGGGUAGACGGCUGUGCAAGGCUGAAUUGAAAACCCAGGGGUCAACCCUGGGGCGGCUUUGGAAACUGGGGAGCUAGAGUGCUGGAGAGGUAAGUGGAAUUCCUAGUGUAGCGGUGAAAUGCGUAGAUAUUAGGAGGAACACCAGUGGCGAAGGCGGCUUACUGGACAGUAACUGACGUUGAGGCUCGAAAGCGUGGGGAGCAAACAGGAUUAGAUACCCGUGUAGUC